UUUUAGCCCCGAUUAAAGUGAAAAUCCUUAUGGGCGUUUUUCAGCGCAUAAGAUUGAAACGGAAAGCGGGAAAUAGC
Molecule: small RNA, 77 nt
Filed under: Flavobacterium sp. 123
Lineage: Bacteria; Pseudomonadati; Bacteroidota; Flavobacteriia; Flavobacteriales; Flavobacteriaceae
Description: Flavo-1 RNA
Rfam family: Flavo-1 RNA
Source: Rfam by way of RNAcentral